RNAcentral lists this ribosomal RNA (468 nucleotides) under uncultured bacterium. RNAcentral's name for it is "partial 16S ribosomal RNA". It matches the Rfam family "Bacterial small subunit ribosomal RNA", at positions 28 to 507 of the family's 1533-position model. The record is from RNAcentral.
GACGAACGCUGGCGGCGUGCUUAACACAUGCAAGUCGAACGGAAAGGCCCUGCUUUUGUGGGGUGCUCGAGUGGCGAACGGGUGAGUAACACGUGAGUAACCUGCCCUUGACUUUGGGAUAACUUCAGGAAACUGGGGCUAAUACCGGAUAGGAGCUCCUGCUGCAUGGUGGGGGUUGGAAAGUUUCGGCGGUUGGGGAUGGACUCGCGGCUUAUCAGCUUGUUGGUGGGGUAGUGGCUUACCAAGGCUUUGACGGGUAGCCGGCCUGAGAGGGUGACCGGCCACAUUGGGACUGAGAUACGGCCCAGACUCCUACGGGAGGCAGAAGUGGGGAAUAUUGCACAAGGGGCGGAAGCCUAGUGCAGCAACGCCGCGUGCGGGAUGACGGCCUUCGGGUUGUAAACCGCUGUCGCCUGUGACGAAGCGUGAGUGACGGUAAUGGGUAAAGAAGCACCGGCUAACUACGUG